UGCUUUGGUUUCAAAGUUAUAAGCCAAAAUCUACAUUUUACCCUGAUGUUCUAUUUAUAGCCAUGGUGGCCAUCUUGGUUGGUAGGCCGGGUCACCGGACACAUUUUUUUUUAAACUAGAUACCCUAAAAAUUAUUGUGGCUAAGUUUGGUUAAGUUUGGCCUAGUAGUUUCAGAGGAGAAGAUUUUUGUAAAAGAUUACAAAAAUUUACGAACAAUUGGUAAAAAAUGACUAUAAAGAGCAAUAACUUCUUUAGGGGUCAACUGACCAUUUUGGUCAUGUUGACUUAUUUGUAAAUCUUACUUUGCUGAACAUUAUUGCUGUUUACAGUUUAUCUCUAUCUAUAAUUAUAUUCAAGGUAAUAAUAAAAAA
RNAcentral lists this long non-coding RNA (371 nucleotides) under Mytilus galloprovincialis (Mediterranean mussel). The record is from RNAcentral. Lineage: Eukaryota; Metazoa; Mollusca; Bivalvia; Mytilida; Mytilidae.